CCUACGGGUGGCAGCAGUGAGGAAUAUUGGUCAAUAGGCGCGAGCCUGAACCAGCCAAGUAGCGUGAAGGAUGCCUGCCCUACGGGUUGUAAACUUCUUUUAUAAAGGAAUAAAGUGAGGCACGUGUGCCUUUUUGUAUGUUCUUUAUGAAUAAGGCUCGGCUAACUCCGUGCCAGCAGCCGCGGUAAUACGGAGGAUCCGAGCGUGAUCCGGAUUUAUUGGGUUUAAAGGGAGCGUAGAUGGGUUGUUAAGUCAGUUGUGAAAGUUUGCGGCUCAACCGUAAAAUUGCAAUUGAUACUGGCAGCCUUGAGUACAGUUGAGGUAUGCGGAAUGCGUGGUGUAGCGGUGAAAUGCUUAGAUAUCACGAAGAACUCCGAUUGCGAAGGCAGCUUACUAAACUGCCACUGACAUUGAUGCUCGAAAGUGUGGGUAUCAAACAGGAUUAGAUACCCGUGUAGUC
Molecule: ribosomal RNA, 460 nt
Filed under: uncultured bacterium
Lineage: Bacteria
Description: partial 16S ribosomal RNA
Rfam family: Bacterial small subunit ribosomal RNA
Source: RNAcentral